RNAcentral lists this ribosomal RNA (253 nucleotides) under uncultured bacterium. Its description in RNAcentral is "partial 16S ribosomal RNA". It matches the Rfam family "Bacterial small subunit ribosomal RNA", at positions 524 to 776 of the family's 1533-position model. The record is from RNAcentral.
UACAGAGGAGCCAAGCGUUGUCCGGAUUGACUGGGCGUAAAGCGCACGCAGGCGGUGGUGCGCGUGGGGUGGGAAAUCUGGCCGCUUAACGGCCAGGCGCCAUCCCAUACGGCACGACUGGAGGGCUGCAGAGGUCGAUGGAAUUGCCGGUGUAGUGGUGAAAUGCGUAGAGAUCGGCAGGAACACCCAGGGGGAAACCAGUCGACUGGGCAGCACCUGACGCUGAGGUGCGAGAGCGUGGGGAGCGAACCGG